Molecule: long non-coding RNA, 3665 nt
Organism: Homo sapiens (human)
Lineage: Eukaryota; Metazoa; Chordata; Mammalia; Primates; Hominidae
Exons: 5
Source: RefSeq, a predicted model, not a curated record
UGGUGGCCAUGUGGAGGAGCUGGGAGAGUGGCACCCCUGGAGAGGGUGUGGAAGCUCCGUUGCCUCCACCGUCUUUUCCGCCUGCUGUUCCUGAGUUGUAUCCUUUUAUUAUAAAUCUGCAACCUAGUAGUAAACUGUUUUCCUGAGCUCCAUGAACUGCUCUAGCAAAUCACCAAAUCUGAACAGGGGCUCAGGGGAACCUCUGAUUUAUAACUAGUGGUUCAGAACCACAGGUGGCAACCUGGACUUGUGACUGGCGUCUGAAGGCAGUGGGCAUAGUGUUGUGGGACUGCCUGAGCCCUUAACUUGUGGAAUCUGAUGCUAACCUCAGGUAAAAAGUGUCAGAAUUGAAUCAAAUUAGAGGACACCCAGUCAGCAAAUGUUGAGAACUGGAUAAUUGAUGGGUGUGUGUGUGUGGGGGAAAUAAUCCCACACAUUUGGUGUCAGAAAUGUGUGAGUAUAGGAGGAAAAAGUUACUUUUCUUUCUUUUUAGGAAGGGGAAAGAGGAGGGUAGAAAAGAAUAAGGAAGAAGAAAAUACAGUGGAGAUUCCUGGCUAAAACUGGUUGGCUCAUGUUUACUCAGCUUCAUGGGUUUAGAUUCAGUUAAGGCUGACAUUGGUUUCAGAAGGACGUAUAGUUGAACCAGUUCUUGAUAAGCCUGAAUCUUUAUGUGCUGCAUGUCUGUAAGCUGCCCUCUCAAAGACCUGCUCUCCUCACGUGCUGCAGAAAGAAAAUGACGUGGACAGAGACAGAAAUGUCACAAUCUACGCUCAGCUGGUCUGGAUUAUCCAACUUCUGAGGUGUAUCUGCCGGCUGUCCCUGUAUCCCAUUAUAAAUCAUCUCCUUGUUGAACAUCAGGCCAGACUGGGGUCUGAUUCAUUGGCUGUAUGUGGCUACCUGGCUCCAGGAGGAGCCUCUGUCUCAGUCCUGUAAUAGUCAUCAUGCUUUAAGAAACCUUCACAUUUCUGAACAGUUACAUAGUGUCCUCAGCUGAAGAAAGAGGAAGUCUGGAGUCCAUUUCCGGCAGUUAGCAGGGAGCUGUUUUCCUCUCUCUGACAUUAGCAAGAUUCAGAAGGUAUGAGAUUGGACUUGGAUCUUCUUUUUCUGACAUAUGCAUUUAAUACUAUACAUUUCCCGCUAAGCACCAUUUUUACCGCAUGCCACAAGUUUUGGGUUCACUGAACUGGGACUAUCCUGGUACCUGAAAAGGAUAAACUAGAAUGUGCUCGUGUUGGGGUGGAUAAAUCCUGAAGAAAGCUCACAGUCUGACAAGUUCAACCGCAGUUGCCAAUCUCUGCAGAGCUGCUAAGCAAAGCCCUCUUGAGCUUGGGGAAAGAACUCCUGCCUUGGCCCAGACGAGCCAUGCUCUGCAACUGAUCUUCCCCCAAGCCUUUUAAUGAAGUUUGACACUUGGCAGAGGCGGGGAGCUGAGGCACAUGCUCUGAAUGAGCUCUCAUUCCUAAGAGGUUUUGGCAUCACGGGAGCAUACCUCCUGCCCUGCUCUUCCUCCAGUUGUCCACCUCCACUCUCAGGGCAGGGGCCGGGGAGGCUGCAGUUAGCUCCAUGCCAAGAAGCCACAUCAGGCCACAUCUGGCUGGAGACAUUGGCUGUCAGCACUCAUUGCCAGGGUUCCAGUCCAAGAUGCUCAGUACAAAGUCCCAGGGAUCCUUCCUAGACGAAGCACUCUAAGUUUCUUCUGUAGAGGCAGUGCUGGCUGGGCAGGUGGCAAAGCAAUCGUAUGAUGGACACAAAGUGGCAUAUAUUAUCCAGCCUUCUGGGCAUGACAUGGCAGAUUCAUGAAUUCAUGAAUUCUUUCAUUCAACAAAUGAGGAUGAAGUUCCUGCCACCACCAGAUACGCUUCUACCUGCCUGUGAGGACUGCAGCAGUCAACCGGGUUGAAAGCAGCUCGUAUCCUUAUGGAGCCUGCAUUGCUCUAGGGAGAGACAGCUGAGAAAACAUUACAUUCACGGGAUCAUUACAGCUUGCACUUUGUGUCUGAUGUGAAAAAAUGAGGGGGUCUGGGCACUGGGAAGACCCUUUCUGGGAGGGUGCUCAGGUAGACUCUUUUGAUCUGAGCCGAGAUCUGCUGUAUGAGCAGAGCACAGCCACAGAGACCAUCAGGGAAGGAGCAUUCCAGGCAGGAGAAUGACAGCGAGAGGGAAAGAGCUCCUGCCAGGGAAGGACUGGGGAGGAGGUGCUUUCUAAGCCACAUAAUACAGGAGAGUAGGUUGCGUCAUCACCAUGAUCACUGUUUGAAUGGUCCUCACCCCAUACUUUACCUGUGUGUGCUAUAGAAUGAAGCUGGCUGGAGCUGUGUGGGUCAUUGCCUUCUUCGGGCUCCCAUGGAUGAUGCCCACUUCUUUCCACGCUGCAUUCUCCUUAUGGCUUGUCUAGUCCCACUUUCCUUUUGGACUGAGAGUUCUUUGAAAGCAGGUACUCUGCCUUCUGUUUUUGUAGCACCAGCAUCUGGUAGAGCAAUUUAGCAUUGACAAGGCAUCUUGCAAAUACUUGCCAAAUGUAUGAAUAUAAGAGGCAACAUCUGCGGGAAUGUUGGAGAAUGGGAUGGCCUCAAGGUGGCCCAAGGAGGGAAAGUGGCACAAAUUCUUUUUUUGUUUUUUUUUUUGAGAUGGAGUUUUGCUCUUGCUGCCCAGUCUGGAGCACAAUGGCACGAUCUCGGCUCACUGCAACCUCCGCCUCCUGGAUUCAAGUGAUUCUGCUGCCUCAGCCUCCUGAGUAGCUGGGAUUACAGGCAUGCACCACCAGGCCCGGCUAAUUUUUGUAUUUUUAGUAGAGACGGGAUUUCAUCAUGUUGAUCAUGCUGAUCUCAAACUCCUGACCUCAGGUGAUCCACCUGCCUCGGCCUCCCAAAGUGCCGAGAUUACUGGCAUGAGCCACUGCACCCGGCAGAGUGGCACAAAUUCUUAUUGCAAAGUUACAGGCAGGGUUAAUCCCAAGGGAAUCUGCCAGUGCAUGUGUAUCUAUCACUGGGGCUCUCCGAUUUGUCUCACCUCUUCCUCUUGGCAUGGAUUAAAAGAGCCAAAGGUAUUCAUUCAGUUACUUUUUAUUCUUUCUGGUUGGGAGGAAGGAUCAUUUUCUUUAUACAGGCCGAAUGCAAUCCCAACCAAUUAAAAUAGAAGGUGUAAUAAAAUAACUGCUAAGGAGAAGUAAAAGGAAAAGGGAGAAUGAAAGAAGAAAAGCAGAGAAAGUAUAAGAGAAAUGAAUACAAAUUAUUAUCCCUUUGAUAAUAAUAUUCCUUUUACAAUAACCAAUCAUUAAUACUUCAGAAUCAUGAAUGAGACUCUCAAAAACAAGUCUCAAAUGUGGAUUGUAUCUAGGUUCCGAUUUCAUAUGGCAGUUAUCUUAUAUAUUUGAAAUGCCAAUUGAUUAUUAAAAACACAUUUCUUUAGCUUUGACUACCAUGUAAUAGACAGGUAACUAUUACAUCGUUGUUAAACCCCAGUAAAUACUACUUAUUGGAAACACAUUUCUUUCAACUCAACAAUAUGAUUGUGUAUGUAUCUAUUACAGAAAUCUUGAAACCCCAUCAAUUUGUGCCAAAAAUACAUCUCUUUUCUUUUGAAUUCACAAGGCUCAAGAUAUUGUCUCAAAUGGAGUGCUAUUAAGUCCCCAGUAACUAUCUCAGUAAUAAACGAUGACCACUGCA